GAGUGUUAUCCUUCGACAGCUCAUAUACUAAAACUGGAACGAUACAGAGAAGAUUAGCAAGGCCCCUGCGCAAGGAUGACACGCAAAUUCCUGAAGCAUUCCAUAUUUUU
This is a small nuclear RNA of Bufo gargarizans (Asiatic toad), 110 nucleotides long. The record is from RefSeq and is a predicted model, not a curated record. Lineage: Eukaryota; Metazoa; Chordata; Amphibia; Anura; Bufonidae.